Molecule: ribosomal RNA, 169 nt
Filed under: uncultured bacterium
Lineage: Bacteria
Description: partial 16S ribosomal RNA
Rfam family: Bacterial small subunit ribosomal RNA
Source: RNAcentral
CCUACGGGAGGCAGCAGUGGGGAAUAUUGGACAAUGGGCGCAAGCCUGAUCCAGCAAUGCCGCGUGUGUGAAGAAGGCCUGCGGGUUGUAAAGCACUUUCAGUGGGGAAGAACGGAUACGGGCCAAUACCCCGCAUCACUGACGUUACCCACAGAAGAAGCACCGGCUA